UACGUAGGGAGCAAGCGUUGUCCGGAAUUAUUGGGCGUAAAGGGCUCGUAGGCGGUUUGUCGCGUCGGGAGUGAAAACACCGGGCUUAACUCGGUGCUUGCUUUCGAUACGGGCAGACUAGAGGCAUGCAGGGGAGAACGGAAUUCCUGGUGUAGCGGUGAAAUGCGCAGAUAUCAGGAGGAACACCGGUGGCGAAGGCGGUUCUCUGGGCAUGUCCUGACGCUGAGGCGCGAAAGCGUGGGGAGCGAACAGG
RNAcentral lists this ribosomal RNA (253 nucleotides) under uncultured bacterium. RNAcentral describes it as "partial 16S ribosomal RNA". It matches the Rfam family "Bacterial small subunit ribosomal RNA", at positions 524 to 776 of the family's 1533-position model. The record is from RNAcentral.